UACGAGGGGGGCGAGCGUUGUCCGGAAUCAUUGGGCGUAAAGAGCUCGUAGGCGGUUCAGUAAGUCAGGUGUGAAAGCUCCGAGCUCAACUCGGAGAGGCCACCUGAUACUGCUGUGACUAGAAUCCAGUAGGGGAGUGUGGAACUCCUGGUGUAGCGGUGAAAUGCGCAGAUAUCAGGAAGAACACCAGCGGCGAAGGCGGCACUCUGGGCUGGAAUUGACGCUGAGGAGCGAAAGUGUGGGUAGCAAACAGG
Molecule: ribosomal RNA, 254 nt
Filed under: uncultured bacterium
Lineage: Bacteria
Description: partial 16S ribosomal RNA
Rfam family: Bacterial small subunit ribosomal RNA
Source: RNAcentral